RNAcentral lists this unclassified non-coding RNA (331 nucleotides) under soil metagenome. Its description in RNAcentral is "partial contains 5.8S ribosomal RNA, internal transcribed spacer 2, and large subunit ribosomal RNA". The stretch from base 3 to 121 matches the Rfam family "5.8S ribosomal RNA", at positions 37 to 154 of the family's 154-position model. The record is from RNAcentral.
GGUGAAGAACGUAGUGAAAGUGCGAAACGUAAUGUGAAUUGCAGAAUUCAGUGAAUCAUCGAAUCUUUGAACGCACAUUGCGCCCGCCAGUAUUCUGGCGGGCAUGCCUGUUCGAGCGUCAUUUCAACCAUCAAGCCUUCGCUUGUGUUGGGGCCCCGCGGCUGCCGCGGUCCCCUAAAUCCAGUGGCGGGCUCGUCGUCGUACCGAGCGCAGUAGACAUCCUCGCUCCGGGAACCCGACGGGUGCCGGCCGUGAAACCCCCCCACAUCAAGGUUGACCUCGGAUCAGGUAGGAAUACCCGCUGAACUUAAGCAUAUCAAUAAGCGGAGGA